AUACUCUUCUCUGCACCACAUCAGAAGAAGGAAUUUGAUCCUCUUUUUGCCAUGGCGGUGGUCAAGAAGACACUCGUCAUUGUUCUGGUUGCUGCGAUCCUGUCUUCAAUAUCUCCAUGCUACGAAGCUGGCCAAAACUCAUGUGCAGGCACUGGCUGCAGUCAGCUAGAUGCAACACCUUGCGUGGACCCUAUCAAGAACGACGCGGACCACUGUACAACUGCAACAUGCGCCUUGAGAUGCCUAGCCACUAGACACAGGACCAGGUCGGCCUACUGUAAACAUGAGGGUAGCAAAUAUGAGUGUUGCUGCCCACCAUGAGAUCUACGGGCACGAUUUGUGUAAUACAUUGAAUGUCUCCAAUAUAGAGUGGAAGAACUACUGGUUUUAUGAAA
Long non-coding RNA from Sorghum bicolor (sorghum), 395 nucleotides. RefSeq lists it as uncharacterized. Lineage: Eukaryota; Viridiplantae; Streptophyta; Magnoliopsida; Poales; Poaceae. The record is from RefSeq and is a predicted model, not a curated record. The transcript has 2 exons.